RNAcentral lists this long non-coding RNA (2195 nucleotides) under Homo sapiens (human). RNAcentral describes it as "non-protein coding lnc-B3GNT10-21:16". The record is from RNAcentral. Lineage: Eukaryota; Metazoa; Chordata; Mammalia; Primates; Hominidae.
AUUUAACAAAAAAAAUCUGGAAAUCAGAAUGUUGCUAACUGUGGACAGAGGUCCCAAUCACCCAGAUUCAUUAUUCUUUGUUCAUUCUAAUGUUGAUACUGUGUUUCUCCCUCAGGAAGGCCCUAGCUUUCUUCAGCCCUUGGGUCAGGGUAUAACUGAAGCAUUUGAACAUAAUCAAGCAUAUGUUUGACCACUUUGCUGACUGUAUUGAAAAAACCCUCACCUUACUCUGAAAGAAGCAUGGCAACAGUACAAUAUUGCCGAUGCUUUGGUAGUGAUAAAAGAGGUGAUGGGUGAUAUAAAAUCAGCCACUCUUAAGCUUGCUGGAAACUGUGGGAGGAUGUGUGAAUGAUGCAUAUUUCCCUAGAGCUAAUGAAGAAGUUAAAAAAAAUCUUAGUGUCUGCAAAACAGGCUGUACAUCCUUUUGAAAUCCCAGAGAUCUUCAGUCUCCCUGUGGAUUAAGGAGAUGUGCAGUAUUUAAAGUGGCUUCAGGAAGGCAUGGAAGAGGACUGAGUGGGGAAAGCUUUUUGUGCAUGCUGCUGGCUACCUCCAGCGGCUGCCUCCAGCCUCCAUCAGCUGCACUCUGGGGAAGAGGAGGCUGCCUUCUACCUCCCAGCAUCUCUGGAUUUCAUGUUCCUGUCAGCACAGAGGAGCUAAAUGGCCUGUAGAGGCUGAAGGUCUGAGGCUCCUAAAGCUGGAAGAAAAGGCUGGGCCAGUCAGGCCAAGCAAGAACACAGUGUAACUUGUCUCUGAGUGCUUCAUGGUUAAGGGGGCUAAGCAGGCACAAGGGCAUGAGGAUGGUUAUAUGUACAGACUGAGGGGAAGAAGCAGUGAAGAUGAGACUUGCCAUCUUCUUGAGUCAGUAGGCCUGCCUCAGGUGCCUAGGAUGUAAUUGCUCUGCUGCUUCUCAUGGGGAGGAGUGGCCCUCAUGACCUUGUUUACCUGGAAGAGUGUGGGAUGAAUGCCUCCUCCUAUGGGGACUCGCAAGUGCUUUAGCAAAAGGAUAAAUUGCUAAUUGUGGCAUUUCGUGGAUCAGCAGGAUUAUUUCUCCUUGCUAAAGAGGAUUUUGUUGGUCCUGAAUUCUGAGGAGGUGGGACUAGGAAUGGGCUCCAUGAGCCUGUGUAUGACUCAGGGAAUAUUAGGACUUUGGCACAGCCUCAUGGGUUGGGAGUAAGUCUUGGCUCUUCCCUAGCCUGAAUGACAGACAUCAGAUCAUUCUGGUGCUUUGUCCAUGAAGAUGUAGAUUCUGAGCCCACCCAACUAAUCUUUUCACUUGAGCACAGAAACAGCCCCGGGAAUCGGACAGACCCGUGUCUUUCAGGUUUGCUUCACAGAGCCCCAGGGGUUGACAAUAGGUGCCUUGGAGACUGCCUGCAUGGGGAUUUUUAAAAAGCUUUCUUUGUUAAAGGUUUGUAAACCACUCCUCUGAGCCUGUUUUCAUUUUAUAGAUUAUUCAGGGAACUGAACUGCACAGAGAUCCAGAAAGUGGGUAGUGCAGGCUGUAGUGCUGAUAACUACUGUACUACUUGGAUCUUUGUGCUCCCAAAUACCAAAUGGAAGAGGAUCUCUGAGAGUCCUUUGCAAAGAUCUUGUAGGGACUUUAGGCUGGGGCCUUCGGAAAAUUCCAGAGGAUUCCAAUGGAGAUUUUGAGGGACUGACUCAGAAGAACAAAGAGAAUGAUAAUGGUGAUGUCCCUGCUUUUUACAACAGAUCAUGUUCUGAUAUAUAUGCAAAUCUGUGUAAAGUAAACCCUACCUAAAAUGUACUGGGGACCCAAGAUGGACUGCCUGUAUUGCUUCCAGGAUAAAGUCCAAUUUCUAGCUCUGGUUUUUAUAACCUUGCUUCAGCUCACCUUUUCCGUCAUCAUCCCCUCCAUCUCCUCUCCCACGCUGGGAAAUGGAUGGCUGCACUAUACUGUGUGAUGUUAUUGCUAUGUUCAUGCCAUCCCCUCUGCCUGGAAUGCCCUUCUGCAUGAAUGCCUGUGAAAUGUUGUUGCUCCUUUGUAUGGCCUGGCUUCCGUGGUUGGCAGGAAUCUCUUCUUUCGUGGUAUUCCUGUCAUCUUUGUGCAUCACAGUCAGCUUUGUAUUCCUAGCUUGUAAGCUACUUGAGGAUAGGGGCAUGUCUGAAUCUAUUUAAUCUCUUGCACCUGUUUGGCAAAUUGAUGUUUUAAGUAUUUAAAUAACUAAAGCUCUCUC